UUAAAUUUGAAUUUCAAAUAAACAUGAGUAAUUUUUUAGUAUAAGUAUAUCGCAUGCAAUAUUUGGGAAAUACUUAUACUAAAUAUUUAUUCAUUGCUUAUCUGAGAUUCAUGUUUAACUGGGCAUCCUGUA
This 132-nucleotide microRNA precursor is filed under the name Pteropus vampyrus (large flying fox). RNAcentral's name for it is "miRNA (ENSPVAG00000025422.1)". The stretch from base 33 to 84 matches the Rfam family "mir-1302 microRNA precursor family". The record is from RNAcentral. Lineage: Eukaryota; Metazoa; Chordata; Mammalia; Chiroptera; Pteropodidae.